CCUACGGGCGGCAGCAGUGGGGAAUAUUGGACAAUGGGGGCAACCCUGAUCCAGCCAUGCCGCGUGUGUGAAGAAGGCCUUCGGGUUGUAAAGCACUUUCAGUGAGGAAGAAGGCCUGCGGGUUAAUAGCCGGCAGGAAGGACAUCACUCACAGAAGAAGCACCGGCUAACUCCGUGCCAGCAGCCGCGGUAAUACGGAGGGUGCGAGCGUUAAUCGGAAUUACUGGGCGUAAAGCGCGCGUAGGUGGCUUGAUAAGCCGGUUGUGAAAGCCCCGGGCUCAACCUGGGAACGGCAUCCGGAACUGUCAGGCUAGAGUGCAGGAGAGGAAGGUAGAAUUCCCGGUGUAGCGGUGAAAUGCGUAGAGAUCGGGAGGAAUACCAGUGGCGAAGGCGGCCUUCUGGACUGACACUGACACUGAGGUGCGAAAGCGUGGGUAGCAAACAGGAUUAGAUACCCAAGUAGUC
Molecule: ribosomal RNA, 465 nt
Filed under: uncultured bacterium
Lineage: Bacteria
Description: bacterial SSU rRNA
Rfam family: Bacterial small subunit ribosomal RNA
Source: RNAcentral